This 380-nucleotide unclassified non-coding RNA is filed under the name uncultured Rickettsiales bacterium. Its description in RNAcentral is "contains 16S-23S intergenic spacer region". The record is from RNAcentral. Lineage: Bacteria; Pseudomonadati; Pseudomonadota; Alphaproteobacteria; Rickettsiales.
UCCGGCUUAUCACCGGCAGUUUCCUUAGAGUUCCCAGCUUAACCUGUUGGCAACUAAGGAUGAGGGUUGCGCUCGUUGCGGGACUUAACCCAACAUCUCACGACACGAGCUGACGACAGCCAUGCAGCACCUGUGUGGUAGCCAGCCGAACUGAAGAGUUGCGUUUCUGCGACUCAUACUACCCAUGUCAAGGCCUGGUAAGGUUCUUCGCGUUGCCUCGAAUUAAACCACAUGCUCCACCGCUUGUGCGGGUCCCCGUCAAUUCCUUUGAGUUUUAAUCUUGCGACCGUACUCCCCAGGCGGGAUGCUUAACGCGUUAGCUGCGCCACUGAGGACUACGUCCCCAACGGCUAGCAUCCAUCGUUUACAGCGUGGACUAC